This 301-nucleotide unclassified non-coding RNA is filed under the name Hevea brasiliensis (rubber tree). The record is from RNAcentral. Lineage: Eukaryota; Viridiplantae; Streptophyta; Magnoliopsida; Malpighiales; Euphorbiaceae.
CUGACUUGCAUUCUUUUGGAAAUACCAAGACAUCCUUGACCUUUAUGGGAGAAAUUGCUAAUGCUCCAUUUAGAAUAACCUUCUUCAUCAAGUUGAUGACAUUCAUACACAGCCUUUGCUUUUCUCCUUUCCCCAACUGAUCUUACUCAAAAUUACAUAGGCACUUGGUGAUUUCUCACAGAUUAUAGUCCUCAUUAAUUGUUCCCAAUCAGAACCUAUUAGUACACAUUUUCCUUGGUAAUAGUGCCUUCAAAACUCCCCUGGGUUAGUAAAAGCUAAAAUGACCUAAAAUGCAAUGGGC